UAAUCUCCACGCAGUGCUUUCCUUCCCACCUGCUCCGCCCCGAUCGUCGCUUCCAGGGUUUCGACUGCUCGCCGGCGACGACGAGGGUGGGCAUUGCGGCGAGGGCCACCCGACCUUGUUCCUCGGAUCUGGUGCUUCUCUAGGUUCAGAUUGUAACUCGAGCAUGGGGGCGGGGAGUGCUUGCGGUCCAAGAUGUACCGCGAGCGCAGGGUUUGGUCGAUCGAGGCCAAGCAUGGCGGCACCGCCCUAGCCAGCCGUAAAUCUCUUCGAGUUCUACCAAGCUGACGACGUCAAUACGCCAUUCCCAACUGCCGCAAACCCAAGCCCGCCAAGCUCAGGUCCAAAUACCCUUCUUUAUCCCCGUGCUCUUUUGAUUUCUGCGGCGAUUUCCCUGUCUUGGUCUAAGGGUUGAUGGUUUUCGUUUCGGGGUUCGGGAAAAGGUUCGUCUUUUUGAAGCAGCUUCCGUCGGGAUUGUUUGCAGCGCUGAGCGUUUGCACAUUUAAGAUUUUUCUUCCAAAAGAGUGCCAUUUCAAUAGCCUCUGCAGGGAAGUUAAUACUCGGAAAUGGUUGAUAGACGGCAGGUGUUCUGUUGCUUAAGCUUGUCAAAGAUACAGUGUUUUAGUAUAUUUUGGUAUACAAAUUCAAAGUUCCUGAGAUUGAUGGUUGUGUUUUUCUUCAAUUGCCAAGUUGUCUGUUGGUACUACUUCAUUCUAUCUUCUCCUGCUGCUACUGCUGGUGGCCGUUCGAGAUCAAUGCAGUCCAUCUACGUUGCUCAAAUAAGGUUUAUAUCAUUGUAACAUCCACCAAGAUUCUGAUUUCUGGAGUUGAUGUUGUGAAGUUU
Non-coding RNA from Musa acuminata subsp. malaccensis (wild Malaysian banana), 841 nucleotides. The record is from RefSeq and is a predicted model, not a curated record. Lineage: Eukaryota; Viridiplantae; Streptophyta; Magnoliopsida; Zingiberales; Musaceae.